This 492-nucleotide ribosomal RNA is filed under the name uncultured bacterium. RNAcentral describes it as "partial 16S ribosomal RNA". It matches the Rfam family "Bacterial small subunit ribosomal RNA", at positions 29 to 507 of the family's 1533-position model. The record is from RNAcentral.
AGUGAACGCUGGCGGUAGGCCUAACACAUGCAAGUCGAACGGCAGCACAGUAAGAGCUUGCUCUUACGGGUGGCGAGUGGCGGACGGGUGAGGAAUACAUCGGAAUCUACUUUUUCGUGGGGGAUAACGUAGGGAAACUUACGCUAAUACCGCAUACGACCUACGGGUGAAAGCAGGGGAUCUUCGGACCUUGCGCGAUUGAAUGAGCCGAUGUCGGAUUAGCUAGUUGGCGGGGUAAAGGCCCACCAAGGCGACGAUCCGUAGCUGGUCUGAGAGGAUGAUCAGCCACACUGGAACUGAGACACGGUCCAGACUCCUACGGGAGGCAGCAGUGGGGAAUAUUGGACAAUGGGCGCAAGCCUGGUCCAGCCAUACCGCGUGGGUGAAGAAGGCCUUCGGGUUGUAAAGCCCUUUUGUUGGGAAAGAAAAGAAGCAGGUUAAUACCCCGCUGUUCUGACGGUACCCAAAGAAUAAGCACCGGCUAACUUCGUG